RNAcentral lists this ribosomal RNA (492 nucleotides) under uncultured bacterium. RNAcentral describes it as "partial 16S ribosomal RNA". It matches the Rfam family "Bacterial small subunit ribosomal RNA", at positions 30 to 507 of the family's 1533-position model. The record is from RNAcentral.
AUUGAACGCUGGCGGCAUGCUUUACACAUGCAAGUCGAACGGUAACAGGCCUUCUGGUGCUGCCGAGUGGCGAACGGGUGAGUAAUGCAUCGGAACGUGCCCAGAGGUGGGGGAUAACGCAGCGAAAGCUGUGCUAAUACCGCAUGUGAUCUGAGUAUGAAAGCGGGGGACCAGGCAGCAAUGUUUGGCCUCGCGCCUUUGGAGCGGCCGAUGUCAGAUUAGGUAGUUGGUGGGGUAAAGGCCUACCAAGCCGACGAUCUGUAGCUGGUCUGAGAGGACGACCAGCCACACUGGGACUGAGACACGGCCCAGACUCCUACGGGAGGCAGCAGUGGGGAAUUUUGGACAAUGGGCGCAAGCCUGAUCCAGCAAUGCCGCGUGCGGGAAGAAGGCCUUCGGGUUGUAAACCGCUUUUGUACGGAACGAAAAGGCUCUGGCUAAUACCUGGGGCUGAUGACGGUACCGUAAGAAUAAGCACCGGCUAACUACGUG